AGUGAACGCUGGCGGCGUGCCUAAUACAUGCAAGUCGAACGGAGAUUCAGUAGCUUGCUAUUUAAUCUUAGUGGCGCACGGGUGAGUAAUAUAUAGCUAACUUGCCCAUUACUAAGGGACAACAGUUGGAAACGACUGCUAAUACCUUAUACUCCGUAUCUAUAUAAGUAGAUACGGGAAAGUUUUUCGGUAAUGGAUAGGGCUAUAUCGUAUCAGCUAGUUGGUAAGGUAAUGGCUUACCAAGGCUAUGACGCGUAACUGGUCUGAGAGGAUGAUCAGUCACACUGGAACUGAGACACGGUCCAGACUCCUACGGGAGGCGGCAGUAGGGAAUAUUGCUCAAUGGGGGAAACCCUGAAGCAGCAACGCCGCGUGGAGGAUGACACUUUUCAGAGCGUAAACUCCUUUUCUUGGGAAAGAAUUAUGACGGUACCCAAGGAAUAAGCACCGGCUAACUCCGUG
This 462-nucleotide ribosomal RNA is filed under the name uncultured bacterium. RNAcentral describes it as "partial 16S ribosomal RNA". It matches the Rfam family "Bacterial small subunit ribosomal RNA", at positions 29 to 507 of the family's 1533-position model. The record is from RNAcentral.